CACGAUUAUUAACCUCUUCUAGAUAUCAGCCUGUGUACUGCCGUCGUAAGCAUACCUUUAAAAGAAUUUUAGUAUGCAAUAAUGAUAAUCUCAUACACGUCAGGUCAAAGUGCAGCUAAUGAAGGGGAGGCGAUGGGUUACACCAUAAAUAAAUAUACGAAUUAUAAUAUAAAAAUUUAUAUGAAGGUGGACUUGGAUGUAAUCACAACUCCAGUUUAAAUGAAACUGAACCUAAGACAUGUACACAUCGCCCGUCACUCUCGCUUGAAGGUGAGAUAAGUCGUAACAAAGUAGGUGUAACGGAAGUUGCACCUGU
This is a ribosomal RNA of 316 nucleotides. It matches the Rfam family "Bacterial small subunit ribosomal RNA", at positions 962 to 1520 of the family's 1533-position model.